AGAGUUAAACAGUGCGUGAAAUUGUUGAAAGGGAAACGUUUGACACCAGUUAUGCGGGUGGAAAAUCAGUCUUUUGCAGUGGGGAGUUGUGGGCGUUCUGACCGUAAGGCUGGCGCUUGCUCUAUCUUUGCUGUAAGUGAUGCACUUUUUCAUUUGCAGGUCAACAUCAGUUUGCUUUGCUGGACAAAACCCCAAGAGAAGGUGGCAGCUUAGGCUGUGUUAUAGCUCUGGGGCGAUACAGUGAAGUGGACUGAGGUUUUCGCAGCGUGUGCUCUCGGGCAAGGCUGAUUGGGUGCUAUGGGAUCGUUCGGCGUACAAUGCAUGCAUUUUGCGUCGUGUCUUUUUCAUACUCGCUCAACUCGGCUCUUCCACGCUUAGGAUGUUGACUUAAUGGUUUUAAACGACC
RNAcentral lists this ribosomal RNA (406 nucleotides) under uncultured fungus. RNAcentral describes it as "eukaryotic LSU rRNA". The record is from RNAcentral. Lineage: Eukaryota; Fungi.